RNAcentral lists this unclassified non-coding RNA (715 nucleotides) under Hevea brasiliensis (rubber tree). Lineage: Eukaryota; Viridiplantae; Streptophyta; Magnoliopsida; Malpighiales; Euphorbiaceae. The record is from RNAcentral.
UUCCCGGUCGAAUGGCAUUUAUUUUUAACAUGGAGGGUGGGUACUCUCAUGAUAUUCCAACCACAUUGCACCGGAGUAAAGCUGAUUGUCCAGUGCCAGAGGAAAUGGUUACUGUUAGUGUUGAUGGAUCUGUGCUGGAUCGAAUUGCUAAAAUUAUGUCAUAUCUUCGCCUUGGAUCUUCUGGGAAGGUUCUCAAGAAGAAAAAGAAGGAAAAAGAUGCAAAAGGAAAAGUUUCAGCUGCUAGCAAUGAAUAUGAUGAAGAGGGUAAGCAUGCAAAACCAAAUGGGGGGAUUUUGAACAAUAAAACUGAAAGAGAGAUUUUGCCUCUGCCACCACCACCACCACCACCUCCCAAGAGAGUUCAGUUUGAUUCUCAAGAGAAGCUGGGUCCUGCAGUUGCUAGGGAAGAAGAGAAUGACAUAUUUGUGGGAGAUGGUGUUGACUAUCAUGUUCCUGGAAAAGACAUGAGCCAAAGCCCUAUUUCAGAGGACAUGGAAGAGUCACCUAGAAACAAAGAUAGAACUUCCUAUUUCAAUGAACCUGUUUAUGGCCCCGUCCCUCCUUCUGCACCUUCUCAGGAUUGGCAAGACCUGAAUGGAUAUGAUGCAGUGCAAGUUCAAGCAUUGGCUAGUGGCUACCAGGGAGAGUGGCAAGAUUACCAAUAUGCUGAGCAGUUGGCAUAUCCUGAACAGUAUCUCCAGCAAACAGUGCAGGC